UGGGGAAUCUUGCACAAUGGGGGCAACCCUGAUGCAGCGACGCCGCGUGAGCGAUGAAGCCCUUCGGGGCGUAAAGCUCUUUCGACCGGAACGAUAAUGACGGUACCGGGAGAAGAAGCUGCGGCUAACUACGUGCCAGCAGCCGCGGUAAUACGUAGGCAGCAAGCGUUGUUCGGAUUUACUGGGUGUAAAGGGUGCUCAGGCGGAUUUGUAAGUCAGAGGUGAAAUCUUACAGCUUAACUGUGAAACUGCCUUUGAUACUGCAAGCCUAGAGUAUGGAAGAGAGUGAUGGAAUAUCUGGUGUAGCAGUGAAAUGCGUAGAUAUCAGAUAGAACACCAAUGGCGAAGGCAGUCACUUGGUCCAUUACUGACGCUAAAGCACGAAAGCGUGGGUAGCAAACA
This 402-nucleotide ribosomal RNA is filed under the name uncultured bacterium. Its description in RNAcentral is "bacterial SSU rRNA". It matches the Rfam family "Bacterial small subunit ribosomal RNA", at positions 355 to 774 of the family's 1533-position model. The record is from RNAcentral.